Unclassified non-coding RNA from Lingula anatina, 1113 nucleotides. The record is from RefSeq and is a predicted model, not a curated record. NCBI's taxonomy places the organism in Eukaryota, Metazoa, Brachiopoda, Lingulata, Lingulida, Lingulidae.
UCUUCUUAGCAACAUUCCAGUGUUUGAAAAUGGCGGACGAGGCACUUGCCAGAGCGGGUCUUCAUUUUGACGAGUUAAAUAAGAUAAGGGUGCUUGAGCCAGAGGUGUCUCAAGAUACCACAGAAUUGAAGGAAGAAUGUAAAGAUUUUGUAGAUAAAAUGGGUGAAUUUCAGAAGAUAGUGGGAUCAUUUAUAGAUAUGGUAGACAAAGUGUCAAAAGAAGUUGAAAAAGAAAAAAUGAAGGCUAUUGGAUCCAGGAAUCUCCUUAAAUCAAUUGCAAAACAAAGAGAGGCUCAGCAACAGCAGCUACAGGCAUUAUUAGCUGAAAAGAAAAUGCAGUCAGAAAGGUUACGAGUACAAUAUGAAGCUUUACAAAAGGAAGAGGCAGAGCAAAAUGAAUUUAUUGAACAGUUCAUUUUACAAAAAUGAAACUCUCAACUGGACUGUGAUAUCUUAUUAAAGAAAAGCAAAUUGUAUGUUUUUGUAGCAUGGGAAAGCAGGAAGGUUUUCAUGUAUUCCACAAGUCAAAGGACAGUGCGCUUUUCUUUUUAUGUAACUGACUAAGCAGAACUACUUAGCAACACAUAACCAGUGCCAGAUUAUUCACUGAACAUCAGUGCAGAGGUCGGACCUUUUUUCAGAAAACAAGUGAACUGCAAUAUCUCCUAUCGGUCUCAUACAUUGAGGCGUGUCAACUUGGGUUUUAAAUAUUUGCCAAUUCAUAAUUGUAUUAUGUUGAAAGCAGUACAGUACUCUUGCAAUUUAUAGAGUAUUCGUUAGGUUUUUUUUUAACAUUUUGAAUGACACGUACAAUCUACAACCAUUAACCCCAAAAAUAUAUUGUUAAAUUAAAGACAGAAAAAAAAGCAACUUUCUUGUUACUAAAGUGAUGCUUGUUAUUCUUACUUACUCUUUGAAAUAUAUAUUUUUUCGUAUGUGACCUUGAAGUUCUAAGUUUAUUUAAAUAGUCCAGGCCCCCAUUUCACAAAGAAUAUUAAAUCUGUAGUUGACUAGUAGCCCGACGUAACUAAGUGAUGUAAGGACUUAAUUAUGUUGGUAACCAAGUUCUGGGAACCCGACUUAAGUUUUUUUGUGAAACGGAGGCCAGAUCAAG